This 468-nucleotide ribosomal RNA is filed under the name uncultured bacterium. Its description in RNAcentral is "partial 16S ribosomal RNA". It matches the Rfam family "Bacterial small subunit ribosomal RNA", at positions 28 to 507 of the family's 1533-position model. The record is from RNAcentral.
GACGAACGCUGGCGGCGUGCUUAACACAUGCAAGUCGAACGGAAAGGCCCUGCUUUUGUGGGGUUCUCGAGUGGCGAACGGGUGAGUAACACGUGUGUAACCUGCCCUUGACUUUGGGAUAACUUCAGGAAACUGGGGCUAAUACCGGAUAGGAGCUCCUGCUGCAUGGUGGGGGUUGGAAAGUUUCGGCGGUUGUGGAUGGACUCGCGGCUUAUCAGCUUGUUGGUGUGGUAGUGGCUUACCAAGGGUUUGACGGGUAGCCGGCCUGGGAGGGGGACCGGCCACAUUGCGACUGAGAGACGGCCCAGACGGCUACGGGAGGCAGUGGUGGGGAAUUUUGCGGAAUGGGCGGAAGCGUGAUGCAGAAACGCCGCGUGCGGGAUGACGGCCUUCGGGUUGUGAACCGCUGUCGCCUGUGACGAAGCGUGAGUGACGGUAAUGAGUAAAGAAGCACCGGCUAACUACGUG